GAGGUGGGAAGAUUGCUUGAGCCUGGGAGGUUGAGGCUACAGUAAGCCAAGAUCGUACUACUGCACUCCAGCCUGAGUGACAGAGCAAGACC
This 92-nucleotide microRNA precursor is filed under the name Macaca nemestrina (pig-tailed macaque). RNAcentral's name for it is "miRNA (ENSMNEG00000002110.1)". The record is from RNAcentral. Lineage: Eukaryota; Metazoa; Chordata; Mammalia; Primates; Cercopithecidae.